UCUAAUAUGGCAGAUUAGUGCAUUGAAUUUAAGCUUCAAAUAUGAAGACUUCUUUUGUUAGAA
RNAcentral lists this transfer RNA (63 nucleotides) under Eolachesilla chilensis. RNAcentral describes it as "tRNA-Leu". The record is from RNAcentral. Lineage: Eukaryota; Metazoa; Arthropoda; Insecta; Psocodea; Lachesillidae.